ACAUCACCAUCAUCAUCCUGACUAGUCUUUCGGGAGGAUACGCCUCGCUCUGGAAGACGGACAAAAACUCUUCCAGCGGUCAUUAGAAAUAACAGAAUUCAGACCCUCGGAAGAACUCACUUCCGAGGGUUUUUUCGU
Molecule: regulatory RNA element, 138 nt
Organism: Photobacterium sp.
Lineage: Bacteria; Pseudomonadati; Pseudomonadota; Gammaproteobacteria; Vibrionales; Vibrionaceae
Rfam family: Histidine operon leader
About the family: At least 6 amino acid operons are known to be regulated by attenuation. In each a leader sequence of 150-200 bp is found upstream of the first gene in the operon.
Source: Rfam